Molecule: non-coding RNA, 184 nt
Organism: Myotis lucifugus (little brown bat)
Lineage: Eukaryota; Metazoa; Chordata; Mammalia; Chiroptera; Vespertilionidae
Source: Rfam
AUCGCUUCUCGGCCUUUUGGCUAAGAUCAAGUGUAAAUAAUACAAUAAAAUCUUAAAAUAUAAUUUACAAAGGACUUCAUAAAAUUUAUAUUACAGUAGUCCUCCCUUCUCCAGUUUUCUUUUCCACAGUGUUCAGUUCCCUGCAGUGUAGCAUGGUUUGAAAAUAUUAAAUGGAGAAAUUCUG